GGGGGUUUAGCUCAGUGGUCGAGUGUGUGGUGCUUAGCAUGCUCAGUGUCCUGGGUUCAAUCCCCAGUAACUCCA
RNAcentral lists this transfer RNA (75 nucleotides) under Camelus bactrianus (Bactrian camel). It matches the Rfam family "tRNA". Rfam says of the family: Transfer RNA (tRNA) molecules are approximately 80 nucleotides in length. Their secondary structure includes four short double-helical elements and three loops (D, anti-codon, and T loops). Further hydrogen bonds mediate the characteristic L-shaped molecular structure. tRNAs have two regions of fundamental functional importance: the anti-codon, which is responsible for specific mRNA codon recognition, and the 3' end, to which the tRNAs corresponding amino acid is attached (by aminoacyl-tRNA synthetases). tRNAs cope with the degeneracy of the genetic code in two manners: having more than one tRNA (with a specific anti-codon) for a particular amino acid; and 'wobble' base-pairing, i.e. permitting non-standard base-pairing at the 3rd anti-codon position. The record is from Rfam by way of RNAcentral. RNAcentral also lists the same sequence under 1 other name. Lineage: Eukaryota; Metazoa; Chordata; Mammalia; Artiodactyla; Camelidae.